This 823-nucleotide long non-coding RNA is filed under the name Homo sapiens (human). Its description in RNAcentral is "non-protein coding lnc-NR1D1-5:2". Lineage: Eukaryota; Metazoa; Chordata; Mammalia; Primates; Hominidae. The record is from RNAcentral.
CUCGCUAGUUGCCAAGGCUGGUCUCAAACUCCUGGACUCAAGCGAUCCUCCUGCCUCGGCCUCCCAAAAUGCUGGGAUUACAGGUGUGAGCCACUGUACCUGGCCUCCCUUUGUGCUCUUGAUCUCAGGGUCUUCUCUGGGCUCUCCAUGUACCAGUUACCUCCGAUGGGUGAAGGUCGGGUUGGGGCAUCCCCGGGGAGCACCACUUUUGCACUCGGCAGGCUGUUUCCCAGCGCUCCAUCUGCUCCGUCCCACAGCAGACCGAUCCAUGAGCAGCUCCCUCUCAGCCUCUCAGCUCCACACGGUCAACAUGCGGGACCCUCUGAACCGAGUCCUGGCCAACCUGUUCCUGCUCAUCUCCUCCAUCCUGGGGUCUCGCACCGCUGGCCCCCACACCCAGUUCGUGCAGUGGUUCAUGGAGGAGUGUGUGGACUGCCUGGAGCAGGGUGGCCGUGGCAGCGUCCUGCAGUUCAUGCCCUUCACCACCGUGAGUACCACCUUCCCGGCUCUCCUGCUGGUGCUGGGGCCUCGGGGCAGCCCUUAGAGCAGGGAGGGGCCUCCUUCCCCCUGGGACAGCACACCCACCACCAGCCGUCCCGCAAGCAGCAUCUGUCUGUCCGUGGCAGGUGUCGGAACUGGUGAAGGUGUCAGCCAUGUCCAGCCCCAAGGUGGUUCUGGCCAUCACGGACCUCAGCCUGCCCCUGGGCCGCCAGGUGGCUGCUAAAGCCAUUGCUGCACUCUGAGGGGCUUGGCAUGGCCGCAGUGGGGGCUGGGGACUGGCGCAGCCCCAGGCGCCUCCAAGGGAAGCAGUGAGGAAAGAUGA